Molecule: ribosomal RNA, 292 nt
Filed under: uncultured bacterium
Lineage: Bacteria
Description: partial 16S ribosomal RNA
Rfam family: Bacterial small subunit ribosomal RNA
Source: RNAcentral
GUGCCAGCAGCCGCGGUAAUACGAAGGGGGCUAGCGUUGCUCGGAAUCACUGGGCGUAAAGGGCGCGUAGGCGGCCGAUCAAGUCAGGGGUGAAAGCCUGUGGCUCAACCACAGAAUUGCCUUUGAUACUGUUUGGCUCGAGACCGGAAGAGGUUGGUGGAACUGCGAGUGUAGAGGUGAAAUUCGUAGAUAUUCGCAAGAACACCAGUGGCGAAGGCGGCCAACUGGUCCGGUUCUGACGCUGAGGCGCGAAAGCGUGGGGAGCAAACAGGAUUAGAUACCCUCGUAGUCC